This 624-nucleotide ribosomal RNA is filed under the name Rhytidhysteron rufulum. Its description in RNAcentral is "eukaryotic LSU rRNA". The stretch from base 262 to 415 matches the Rfam family "5.8S ribosomal RNA". The record is from RNAcentral. Lineage: Eukaryota; Fungi; Ascomycota; Dothideomycetes; Hysteriales; Hysteriaceae.
CUUGAAGGUACUGCGGAGGAUCAUUACCAAGCUGAGGGGGUGACGAUCUUGGAGGCUGGUGUACACACCAGCCGCUGAGCGGGAGCCGUUGCAAGAUGAGACUCCUCGCCGCGGUGCCUCCCAAGACAAGCCCCCGAACCUUCCACCCUUGUCCACUUGUACCCUUUGUUGCCUCGGCGGGUGCGCCCGCCAGAGGACCACACCAAAAACUCUUGUUGUAAACGGCGUCUUGUCUGAGCUAUAGCGAAAGCAAUAGUUUAAAACUUUCAACAACGGAUCUCUUGGUUCUGGCAUCGAUGAAGAACGCAGCGAAAUGCGAUAAGUAGUGUGAAUUGCAGAAUUCAGUGAAUCAUCGAAUCUUUGAACGCACAUUGCGCCCCUUGGUAUCCCGAGGGGCAUGCCUGUUCGAGCGUCAUUAUCACCAAUCAAGCCUGGCUUGGUGUUGGGUGCCGUCCCGCCCUCUGCGGCGUGGACGCUCCCUAAAACUAUCGGCGGUGCAGCACCGGCUUCGAGCGUAGCAGACCUUCGCUUUCUGGGGCCCGGUGCGGCAGCGGCCGCGACGCAGCAACCUCAAGGUUGACCUCGGAUCAGGUAGGGAUACCCGCUGAACUUAAGCAUAUCAAA